CUCCUCAUGGGGAAUCGAACCGGUCUCCCGCGUGACAGGCGGGACACUCACCACUAUACUACCGAGGA
Non-coding RNA from Araneus ventricosus, 68 nucleotides. NCBI's taxonomy places the organism in Eukaryota, Metazoa, Arthropoda, Arachnida, Araneae, Araneidae. The record is from the annotation of a GenBank genome assembly.